UUCCGGUUGAUCCCGCCGGACCUGACUGCUAUCGGAUUGAUACUAAGCCAUGCGAGUCUUUGCAGUAAUGCAAGGCAUACGGCUCAGUAACACGUAGUCAACUUACCCUAUGGACGAGGAUAAUCUCGGGAAACUGAGCAUAAUACUCGAUAGAUCAUAAUGCCUGGAAUGGUUUAUGGUUGAAAUGAUUCGUCGCCAUAGGAUGGGACUGCGGCCUAUCAGCUUGUUGGUGAGGUAAUGGCCCACCAAGGCGAUUACAGGUACGGGCUCUGAGAGGAGAAGCCCGGAGAUGGGUACUGAGACAAGGACCCAGGCCCUAUGGGGCGCAGCAGGCGAGAAAACUUUGCAAUGUGCGAAAGCACGACAAGGUUAAUCCGAGUGAUUUCUGCUAAAGAGAUCUUUUGCUAGUUAUAAAACCACUAGUGAAUAAGGGGUGGGCAAGUUCUGGUGUCAGCCGCCGCGGUAAAACCAGCACCUCAAGUGGUCAGGAUGAUUAUUGGGCCUAAAGCAUCCGUAGCCGGCUCUGUAAGUUUUCGGUUAAAUCCAUGUGCUCAACGCAUGGGCUGCCGAAAAUACUGCAUAGCUAGGGAGUGGGAGAGGUAGACGGUACUCGGUAGGAAGGGGUAAAAUCCUUUGAUCUAUCGAUGACCACCUGUGGCGAAGGCGGUCUACCAGAACACGUUCGACGGUGAGGGAUGAAAGCUGGGGGAGCAAACCGGAUUAGAUACCCGGGUAGUCCCAGCUGUAAACGAUGCAGACUCGAUGAUGCAUUGGCAUAUAGCCAGUGCAGUGUCGCAGGGAAGCCGUUAAGUCUGCCGCCUGGGAAGUACGUACGCAAGUAUGAAACUUAAAGGAAUUGGCGGGGGAGCACCACAAGGGGUGAAGCCUGCGGUUCAAUUGGAUUCAACGCCGGG
This 914-nucleotide ribosomal RNA is filed under the name uncultured marine archaeon. Its description in RNAcentral is "bacterial SSU rRNA". It matches the Rfam family "Archaeal small subunit ribosomal RNA", at positions 1 to 922 of the family's 1478-position model. The record is from RNAcentral.